This 253-nucleotide ribosomal RNA is filed under the name uncultured bacterium. RNAcentral's name for it is "partial 16S ribosomal RNA". It matches the Rfam family "Bacterial small subunit ribosomal RNA", at positions 524 to 776 of the family's 1533-position model. The record is from RNAcentral.
UACGAAGGGGGCUAGCGUUGUUCGGAAUCACUGGGCGUAAAGGGCGCGUAGGCGGCCUGGUAAGUAGGGGGUGAAAUCCUGCGGCUUAACCGCAGGGCUGCCUUCUAAACUGUCAGGCUCGAGCACAGUAGAGGCAGGUGGAAUUCCCGGUGUAGCGGUGGAAUGCGUAGAGAUCGGGAAGAACAUCAGUGGCGAAGGCGGCCUGCUGGGCUGUUGCUGACGCUGAGGCGCGACAGCGUGGGGAGCAAACAGG